This 787-nucleotide ribosomal RNA is filed under the name Rhodococcus sp. MA2. Its description in RNAcentral is "bacterial SSU rRNA". It matches the Rfam family "Bacterial small subunit ribosomal RNA", at positions 62 to 865 of the family's 1533-position model. The record is from RNAcentral. Lineage: Bacteria; Bacillati; Actinomycetota; Actinomycetes; Mycobacteriales; Nocardiaceae.
UCGAGCGGUAAGGCCUUUCGGGGUACACGAGCGGCGAACGGGUGAGUAACACGUGGGUGAUCUGCCCUGCACUUCGGGAUAAGCCUGGGAAACUGGGUCUAAUACCGGAUAUGACCUCAGGUUGCAUGACUUGGGGUGGAAAGAUUUAUCGGUGCAGGAUGGGCCCGCGGCCUAUCAGCUUGUUGGUGGGGUAAUGGCCUACCAAGGCGACGACGGGUAGCCGACCUGAGAGGGUGACCGGCCACACUGGGACUGAGACACGGCCCAGACUCCUACGGGAGGCAGCAGUGGGGAAUAUUGCACAAUGGGCGAAAGCCUGAUGCAGCGACGCCGCGUGAGGGAUGACGGCCUUCGGGUUGUAAACCUCUUUCAGCAGGGACGAAGCGCAAGUGACGGUACCUGCAGAAGAAGCACCGGCUAACUACGUGCCAGCAGCCGCGGUAAUACGUAGGGUGCAAGCGUUGUCCGGAAUUACUGGGCGUAAAGAGUUCGUAGGCGGUUUGUCGCGUCGUUUGUGAAAACCAGCAGCUCAACUGCUGGCUUGCAGGCGAUACGGGCAGACUUGAGUACUGCAGGGGAGACUGGAAUUCCUGGUGUAGCGGUGAAAUGCGCAGAUAUCAGGAGGAACACCGGUGGCGAAGGCGGGUCUCUGGGCAGUAACUGACGCUGAGGAACGAAAGCGUGGGUAGCGAACAGGAUUAGAUACCCUGGUAGUCCACGCCGUAAACGGUGGGCGCUAGGUGUGGGUUCCUUCCACGGAAUCCGUGCCGUAGCUAACGCAUUAAGC